CUAUGUAGCCCUGGCUGUUCUGGAACUCACUUUGUAGACCAGGCUGGCCUCGAGCUCAGAAAUCCUCCUGCCUCCCGAGUGCUGGGAUUAAAGGCGUGCUGGGAUUAAAGGCAUGCUGGGAUUAAAGGCGUGCGCCACCACCGCCCAGCUAAAGCAAAGAAUUCUAAUAGUGCUUAUAAAUAUGGUGCUCUCAGUGUGACAUUCCCUUCCCCAGGGUGCAUUAGCCAGUAGAGGCUGUAAAGAUACUUCAUAUGUAGAGUGCAGCCUGGGGGGCAUCUCUCUGAAAUAGGAGGGUGGAUAAGGAAUUUUCCUUAAGAAAGUCACUUUGCAGCGUGCUGAUGUUUAAUUCAGCUCUGAAUCUUUCUUUAGUGAAACAAUAGGGAGGAUUAACAGCCUGUGGCUGGCUGAUGAGAGUUAGUUUGAACAGUUGGGUAGACAGGACCAGGUACUGUGUGCUUUCUCCUUUGGUCCCAUUGUUGUUUGCCACAUAAUUGGCUUAAAUGUGAUUUUGGAAUAAAAUCCUAUAUAUCUAAAAACCUGUAUUAAAAUUUCCAAAUAAGGCUGAGAAUGGUAGCAACAUGCUUUUAACUCUAGCACUUCUGAGGCAGAGGGAGGGGGAAUCUCUGUUUGAAACUAGUUUGCUCUACAUAGCACCCCCAAAAUGUAUAUAACUAGAAUACUAGUUUCUACGCAAAUAAGAAAAUUACUGCAUAGUAAGGUUAAAUCUUUAGUAUUAAGCAAAGGAGACUUAGAGGCUUAAACACUGUGGUCUUUAAAGAAGCCUCUGAGGUAUAAUGAAGUCCUGGUCUUUCCUCUAUCACCAUUCUCCCUGGUGUUGUCAUGAAAACACCUGUAUCUACAGGCUGUCCUUCCCUGGCUGCUUUUCUGUAGUCCACCUGCCCCAGUUUUCACUGUGCUCAGUGCGAUGCUCGAUGCUUGUGUCUCUGUAUUACCAUCCGGACUAUGUUCUGCACGAUUUUGAGCGAGUGUUGAAAACCGAUUGUCUUUCAGGUUAACUUUUGAAAACUUAAGUACCAUGACUAUCUGUAGGUUUUGUGUUUUUUGUUUUUAUUUUUUUUUAAAUUGAAGCCAAGUAAUUUCAUGAAACAGUAAUUGAAACUAUAUGACAAAGACAUUGAAUUAUGUUAUGAUGUACUAUGUCAUCAACAUAAUGUGUUAAAUGACAGGGGAAUGAGAGCGAGGCCUCAGUCCUACACCAAGAACUACUAGCAGCUUCUGUGCUAAAAGUGGGAGCAAUAGGCCUCCCUCAGGAAGAGCCCACCAACUGGUUAUCCAGUACUAAACGGUCAGCUCUGAAAACACGUGUGAGUAACACUACACAGAAAAGCAGGUUAUAUGUAUUUAGGUGUGUGUGUGUGUGUGUGUGUGUGUGUGUGUAACAACAAUUAAGAGAAGGAGGCCAUGAAUUUGUAAGCGGUUAAGGAGGGUCACGUGGGAGGGUUUGGAGGGAGGAGAGGGAAGAAAUGAUGUAAUUAUAUUGGAAUCUCAAAAAUAAAAUAAAAACAUUUAAAACUCUACACUUAACUAUUAAUAAAAAAUAUUGAAAAUGAGCGCUGAAUCCUGGGAAAAGAAUAACCAGUUGUUUCAAGGUCUUCAUCUGAUGGAACAGAAGUUUUGAGUUUAGUAAACACAACAUUACUUCUGAUAAUGGUUUGCCAUGAAAUUAAUUGAAUGCAGCUUACCUCCUGUCUGUCAAAGGCUGUCUGAGAGGUGACCGUUUGCCGCUCUGCCCAGUCCCAGAGAGAGAGUGCUCAGAGUCGCCUGUGUUAGGUAGGUGGUGUCUCUGUGCUGUGUCUUGUUGGAGGGUUGUUGAGAUGUAGUACCGAUAGUGGGGUUGGUCUGCUGAGCUCUGAGCACUGCUCUGCCGUUUUCAGGAAACGCUCUGAAAUGAGACACUCAGCGUGGGACUUUACCCUGGAUGUGGUUUUCUCUUUCACAAGUGAUUUGUUUAUGAAGUCCUGCUCAUCUCGGGCUGCUCUUGAAACAAUGGCAUAUCUUGAAGAAAGGCAGAUAUUCUUGAAUUAACUGCUUGUUUUGAUGUUUGAAGUUUGUGUCACUUACAGGCAGGAGAUUUGACACUGGGCAAAGCAAGGUUCAAAGCCUAGCUGCUUUCUAAGCUCCUCGACUUUGUCUAGCCUUUUGUUGUUCCUGUGUAGUUCCUAUCCAGUUGAAAUGCAUAGCACUCAUGUGAUAGGAUUGAGAACUCCUCUCCAGAAAAGUCCUGCCUGAAAGAGAGCAACUGCCACCCUGCCACCUCGGUCACCUGUCAUCUUCUCCAUGGCCCUGCUCUGCUCUGCUCUGCCCUGCCCUGCCCUGCAGAUCUGUUCCUGGAUCCUGUAGGUACUUCCUACACUUUGUCCAUUUUCUAUCUCAGGGAAGACUUGCAGUAAUUUUUUUCUUGCAUGAACAUCCAUGUAAACCAUGGGAAGGACUGGGGAAUUUACAUGUAGCUGGAAGAAUUUAUAUGUAGCAGUGUUCUCAGCUGAGAAGGGAAGUGAAACCCACAGAAGGGAGGAUUGGGCAGCCCAGAGCAUCGCUGUCUAGCUACUCUGAGUUUAACUUUCUCUUUAAAGUAGCCCAGCCCUUGUCCAGUUCUAAGUAUCUCUACAUUGGCUACACAUUAUUUGCCAGCCUUUAAAUGGUGCCUAAGCUUAGCUGCUUCUGUGUCUAUAGUGUGAGCGAUUUAAACUGGCUCCUGUCAUCUUGUCUGUCCUGUUUUGAGACGGGGCCUUACUGGCUGCUUUGGAGCUGUGUUGACCAGGUUGGCUUUGAACUUACCCUGGUCUUCCUGUCUCUGCCUCCUGAGAGCUGGACUCCAGCUGUCAGCCACCACAGCUGCCACAGCGUGAACUUGAGGUAGUUUGAGAACCUUGCUUCUUUUCCCAGAAGUGCUAAACUUUCAUUCUACAAAAGGUACUGACGUUAGCUGUGCUAACAAACCACUGGGUGCCGUGGGAGCCUUCCAGAAUAAUGUGCUAUAGAGCCACUGGAGACCACUGCAGCAGUUCCUGUGUGGGUGAGAGGUCAGCCACAUGGAUACCUCUUGACUGGGACCCAGUGUGUUCUGUGAGAAGGUUUCUGACAGGAAGUACUGAUUGUGCUGCUACAGUCAACAGAUGAGGAGCCUGGGGUGUCUUCUCAUUAAGACUUGAGUCUUCCCCGUAUGUAGCAUUCUUAGUUGAGAACUUGCAUUUCUUAGUGCAAGGUGCCCAGGGCAGAUUUGGAACCUCCCAAAAGCUUGGCAGAACCCACCUGUAGACCCUCCCUCUAACCACCUCACAGCUGCCAUUUUCCCUCAGAGCUGGGCUGGCCUGGACGGUUCCUUGCCCCAGCUCUGUGCCUUAUGCUUGGGUGGCCGGCACACACCUUGCUGUCUUUGAUGCUCCACCACUACACCAUGUGCUUGGGGGUGCUGACAUGAGUUGUAGCUAAGGAGCAUUUAACAUUGUUCGAUAGCUAAGAAAGUGAACAUGUGAAGAGGGGGGUGGGGUGGAUGGUCGUCUGAGCCCAGAACCAACUGCAAGGACACUGAGCUGCCUGAGAUGUGGUGAGAGGUCUGUGCAGGAGGCGGAGGAGUGGCCCUCCUGCACGCCUCACCUUGCCUUCAGGAAUCUGUUACUCUUACCAGGGACUUUGUGACCAUGCCUGCAGUUUUGGUCUUCUCACGUACUUUGGAAUGUGAGAGAAUUCUUACCAAAGAGGGUUUUCUCAUACUCCAGAGACGUCAGGGUUUCCUGUACUUUAUGAAAUGUUUUGGUCUCACUUUGAGGUUUAGUUUGAGCAUUGAAGACUGUAGGUGAGUUUAUAUACUUAGUAGGAGAACCUAGUUUUUAAAUCAACAUGAUUUAGUUAAGACACUAUUGGGAGUGUUAUUACAUGCGUGUAGCAUGUCUGCAUGUAGGAUGACUCCAAGGGUGUUAUUACAUGCGUGUAGCAUGUCUGCAUGUAGGAUGACUCCAAGGGUGUUAUUACAUGCAUGUAGCAUGUCUGCAUGUAGGAUGACUCCAAGAGUGUUAUUACAUGCAUGUAGCAUGUCUGCAUGUAGGAUGACUCCAAGGGUGUUAUUACAUGCAUGUAGCAUGUCUGCAUGUAGGAUGACUCCAAGGGUGUUAUUACAUGCAUGUAGCAUGUCUGCAUGUAGGAUGGCUCCAAGGGUGUUAUUACAUGCAUGUAGCAUGUCUGCAUGUAGGAUGGGUCUCUUUUGUUAAAGCUUUGUUUUUGCCACACACAGAGUUGUAUUUCAUGGUCUGAAUGGUUCACAACCGUAACAAGUGUCCUGAUGACCUCCUGCAGUGGCUAGAGGUCUGCUGUAACACUGUUUACCUGGCCUGCCCCUGCAUGGGGACAGUGGACAGCAAGCCCUCAGUGGUUGGUAGCUGGAGAAGAGUGAGAAUGAUGGACAGAGACUGUUCUGCAAGAGGGGAGGAGUCCUGACCUCUGAUUUGACAGUUCGGAACCUUUGUCCCCUGCCUCUUACUUUCUCAGGCUGUGUCCCAACAAUUGUUGCUUCAGAAGGGCCAGGCCCUGGGCUCGGGUGUUUUGAAUAGUAGGAAUUUCUGAAUAAAGACUUAAGAGAUUAUUUAAAUGUUCGAGACAGGGUUUCUCUGUGUAGCCCUUACUGUCCUGGAACUCACUCUGUAGACCAGGCUGCCUUGGAACUCAGAUAUCUGCCUGCCUUUGCCUCCCAAGUGCUGGGAUUAAAGGCACACACUACCACUGCCUGGCUUAAAUGUAGUUUUUAACCCCAGUGAUUUAUAGACAUACUCUUAUAGCCACUUUAGUAUGAAGAGAAAUAUAUGUUGUUUAAUUUAGCCUUCCUUAAUUCUGUCUCUUUUGUGCAUCUUAAAAUGUUUAUGAACAUAUAAUCAGAGUUACUUACUUCAUAAGAAAUGACUUGAAUCCAGAUAUGACCAUCAAUGUGCUAGAUACGUUUAGCUAAAUUAGCAACAACAGCGUUGUCUGUCACUAAGAAAUUCUCGGAGGAAAGGGCUUCUGCCUGGGAGCUCACCAGACCUGUAGCUUCUGAAGUCUUAGGACUCCAGGCCAAGAGUUCACAGACUUAUUCAGAGGUCCAACCAAUUGAAAACCCCAAGGCUAUUGCGAUGCACUUGACUCUAAACUGCAAACUCUGAUUUCAGUUAAAGGAGAUGUACAAAGAAGAGAGUGUGUGUGAGUCUCGUGUGUGACACUAGGAAGUCACCAUUGAGUGUGUGGGGGGGUAUUGUGUGUGACACUAGGAAGUCACCAUUGAGCGUGUGUGGGUAUUGUGUUCGAUACUAGGAAGUUACCAUUGAGGAGAAAGAGGACUGACAGUAGACCAGGGCUGUGACAUACUCCGUGUUUUCCAGAAUUCCGUGGUCAAGAGUUUAGUCCUCAGCCUGGAGUUCAUUUUCAGAAGGUGGCAGAGACCUUAGGGAGUGACAUGAUACCUUUCCAUAGGUGCAGACCAGAUCCACCAAAGCUGAGCCCAAAUGAACUCUUUGUGUUUAGAGCUUUAUCUCGGGCACGUGGGACAGUAAUUUAAAGAUGGUGGGCACUGAAUGAUAAGAAAGAACUCCCAGGUGAAUGUGAGAUGGAGGAUUUUAGUGUAUAGGUGUCUGCAUAUUAGAAGUACAUCUAAUGUUUUUAAUUACUCAACUGAUUUUUCUGCCAUUAUCUGUAUAAUUGGGAAAGGCAGUCAAAAUGGGCUGUUUCUGUUUUUCAGCCUGUAUGCUCUGUUCUGUAUCAUGUGUCAUAUACUUACCAUCCUUGUUAUAGUUGGUUCUCAGAAAUAGUCAUUUCUCCUUCUUGUUCUCAUUAAGCACGUUGGUAGAAGACUUCAUCUUCAAGGCUAGAUUCUCUCUGCCCGCAGAUCUGCGUCUAGGAAGAACUCUGCCAUCUAGUGGGCAAGUUGAACACAGCCUCCCCCCCAAAAAAAACCCCAAAAAACAAAAACCAAAAAACCCAACCCCAAAUGUAUCUACAUCAUCAGCAAACAGCAUGUCUGCUAAUUUCAUUUGUGAUCAUGAAAACUAAACCCAAAAAAUAGCAUCACCCACAGGCCAGGUGCUCACAGAGAUGAGGGUUUGCAGUGUGGGUGCUGGGCGCCUGUCACUCAAAAUCCAUGCAUGUUGCUGGUGGGAAUUAAAACACAGAAGACCUUUUGGUAUUAAGUUGUAAGUGAAGGUGUGCAAAUGCUAUGGCCCAGGUGACUCCCUGACGUACAGCCAGUGAGACCAGAAGACAGGUAAAAAGCAUUCACAGAAGCCUUGUCUGUAACAGUCUCAAAGUAGAAACAACCCCUCACUCACCAGCUGUAGAGUGGACACUGGAAUGUUCUUCGUGUCAAGAGAGUGGUGUACAAGGAAGAGGCAGCUACCACAAGAGUAAACCUCACUACAGAAAGCCACGUAGGAGGGAACCCUUGAUGAGUGAUUCCACCUUUGUGGCUUCCACGAAGUAGCCCAAGUGUGUGUGUGUGAGAGUCCAUGUGUGUGUGUGAGUCCAUGUGUGUGCGCGUGUGUGCGCGAGUCCUCGUGUGUGUGUGUGUGAGUCUGUGUGUGUGUGUGAGUCCAUGUGUGGUGGUAUGUGUGUGUGAGUCCAUGUGUGGUGGUCACUGCUUUGGUGGAGGAGAAACAGUUCCGAUAGACAGGGAGCAGCAGAUGCCUGUAGGGCAGGACCCUAGGACAGUUGUAACCCUCACCAUAGGUCUAAAGAGAGGCAGGCAGGAGGCGAUAGAACCUGGAAGGAGAGAGCCCUGUGAGUCGGCUGUGUGGAGGAGUGACUAGGCUCUCUGCAGGAAGGAGUCGGGAAUAAAUGUGCCCUCAGCUCAGGCCUUUCUUGCCUGACUGCCCUCCAUGCUCCCUUUUCUGGACUUGGCUGGAAGCCAGGUGCUCCUAGCCUUUGAUUCCUCAGAUUCCACUCGGUUUCUGUAUGUGUGGUACAUUUCCUGUCCUACCCAGAGAGACUUUUGCAGGAGAGUUUGGGCUUCAGAAUUGGCACUCUGGGUAUGGGUGUCUCUGCCUCUGAAGCUGUUCCCGUGAGUGCUAUUUCACUACCUGGGGUCUCUGUGAAUUGCCAUGUACCCAGUAGCUUGCAUCCUGGGUUUUGUAGACACCAACACUAGUUCUCGUCCUUCCCUAAUUUGGGGCUGGGUGGCUGUGCUGGAGUCUUUCCCUGAAUCAUGAACUUUCCAAGCUGUGUUAAGUUAGCCUCGAUACUGUACAGUUGGGCAGACUCCUUUUUCUGUGUUUUACUUUGGCCUUCCAGAUCUUUUCUGGAGCAAUAUAAAUGAAGGCUGGCAAGAUGGGACCUCAGAGUCCCCAGGAGUCACUUAAUGACACCCCUAUCUCUGCCCUCGCAGGGAACACUGGGGCCCGCAGGGACUCAGAAGCAUCUGUGUCCUGAGGUGUGUGGGCCCUGCUGCCUUUUGUCCUCAUUUGCUGUGACCUUUGUGUGUGUGUGUGUGUGAGUGUGUGUAUUUUUAUCUUAUUUAUUUUGGGGUUAACUUCUUGAAGACAUGAUCAGCCUGCUGAGGAGACAGGCGUCCAUGCUGUUUUUUCCUUGAUAAUGAAUAGCAUUGGCUUGUUCACAGGUCUUCCUCUCAGUGUGCGCAGUAAAUUGAGCACGUGAUGGUUGUGAUAGUGUUCCUGUCUUACUCUAGCACUUUCCAUAUGGACACAAAAGUUUGUGACUCUUGUAUGUUUCUUGUCACGAGCAGGCCAUGCAGCCCCAGAAGAAUCCCAGCAAAGGCAGUUCAGUGGCUUAAGCACAGAGCUAGCUCAGUCAGUGAGAUGCUUAUUAAAUGCGAGGGCUGGAGUUUGCGCCCCAGAACUCUCAUUCAUUCAUUCAUUCAUUCAUUCAUUCAUUCAUUCAUUCAUUCACUCAGUCUCUCUCUCACUCACUCAGUCUCUCUCUCACUCACUCAGUCUCUCUCUCACUCACUCAGUCUCUCUCUCACUCACUCAGUCUCUCUCUCACUCACUCACUCACUCACUCACUCACUCAGUCUCUCUCUCACUCACUCAGUCUCUCACUCACUCACUCACUCACUCACUCACUCACUCACCCACCCACCCACUCACCCGUAUGUCCAAGCGUGAUGACUUGCAAGCCCAGUGCUGGGAAACCCUGACAAGGGCAUCCCUGGGGCUUUCUAGCCAGUCAGCUCAGUGUGCUUUGCAAGUUCCAGGCCUCCAACCCCACAAAGCAGGCAGUGCCUGAGAAAUGGUAUCUUUGACUUCCACGCACAUAUGUGUAUUGCAGUCUCCCCCUCUCCUCCUACUACCCCCGCCACCACAGGCUGCAGGGGCUGGAAAGUUCUGAACUGGAGACCAGGGCAUAUUGCUGUAGCAUUUCUUUGCAUGGUAAGGCAUUGUUCUUGCCUGUGGUAUGUGAUUUAUUUUUCUAGCACUUAAUGUCACACUUUUUUGGGGGGGUCUGCAAUCAUAGGCUUUAGAAUUAAUAGCAGGAGUUGCCUGUGGCAUCUCUCACAGUUAUGUAUUUACAGACCCUUGGCUGUUUUUCCACUUCCUUUUUUCUUCUCGUUUUGUUAAUGAAGAACUGCCACUCUCAAAUGAUUCUGUGUCCAGCAUAGUGCUUCCCACUGGAGGCCCUCGGUAAAUGGACCUAGUGAUUCAGCUAGGGAUAUGUUUUUCUAAAGUUAUGCAGUGGCUCAAAAAUGGAUGCCUCUCUUGAUGUCACCUUAAGGACAUCAAGUGAGAGCAGGAUAUAACAAGAAAUAGGUUGUCAGGCUUGCCUUAAAGGGACUGAGAGGGUUUGGGAUGAGAGACUCUGUUGUUUCCAGAGGAGUUAGCUGCGGUGUGCAGUUAGUCACACAUGGAGUGGUUCCAAUUCCUCAUCCACUCUCGUUUCCUUUUUGGUGAUUGGACGCUGUCGAGCUGCUUUGAUAGGUCCUCUGCUUCUAUUGUAACACACAGGUGAUCAGUGGCACCUGAACUAUUGGCCUUAACCUGAUUUGAAAUCUUGUUAACAUUGGAAUAAAAAAUUAAAAAAAAUAAGUGGUAGGUUAUGCAAAUGCUUUAGCAUUCACUUAAGAUUGCUUCUAUAUUAAGUAGUACCCUGUGAUAACAAGCCCUUUAGUCUUCUAAGACGUUUUGGCUUAUAGACUAUUUCUUCCCUCAUCAGAAGCAUCCUGUUUAUUUUAGGAAACAGAUUUCCUUUGUAUGACUGGGCUAGUGAUAGAACUAAUAGGUCAUAUUUUUCAAAAUAUAUAUGCAUAUAAACAAAAAUCAUCAUCUUUUUAAAAUAUACUAUCUGUCUGUCUGUCUGUCUGUCUGCCUAUCUAUCUAGACAAUUUUAUCCAUGAUACAGUGUAUCCAUGAUCUACCUCCCAACAGCAUCUCCUCCUCCCCCUUCCUUCAUGUUUUCCCUCCCCCAACUCAGUCCAGUUAGUGCAGCCUGGCUCAGCCUUGUGCAGGUACGCAUAGCUGUGGAGAAUUCGUGAGUGUGAUGGCCAUGCUGUGUCCUGAAGACUGUUUCCCAUCAUUUCCACCCCCCACCCCCCACCCCCUUACAUUCCCUGAGCCUUGUGGGCAGUUACACCCACAGGUACAGAUAGCGCUAAGUCAGGGCACUCAGCACUGUGACCAGUUCCUAGUCUGUGCUCACUGCAGCUGUGAAGACAGCGCUUCCCUGGCCAGGGCUGAGAGCAGGGCUGAUGCUGAUCUCUUGGCCCAUAUGUAACUGUUUAGAGGGCAGCACGAUAGCACGUACAUUUACUAAAACAGCAGUAGGCUCUCCCUUAGGGCCUGUGUUAGUUUCUUUUCUAUUGCUGCCAUAAGAUACCACGACCAAGGCAACUUACAGGGUUAGAGUCCGUGAGCAUCAUGGCAGGGAGCAUGGCAGCAGCCAUGGUGCUGUGGCAGGAGUUCACAUCUUGAGACACAACCACAAGGCAGGCAGACACUGGGAAUAGGGCAAGUCUUUUGAAACCUUAAGGCCUGGUGACAGACCUCCUUCAACAGGCCACACCUCCUAAUCCUAACAGUUCCACCAACUGGGGACCAGGUAUUCAAACAUAUGAGCCAAUAGGGACAUUGUCAUUAAGACUUCCACAGGGCCUAUAACCGUCUGAGCCAUGGGCUUUUGACAGGUAACACAGUAUGAGACACAGAUUCCUUCCUGUAGCGGGUCUUGAAUCCAAUCAGAAAGUGGUCACCCCAUAGCCCUCGCCCUGCUGCUGCAGAAUUUGCCUGGCAGGCAGUAUUUUAGCAUCCAGGGAUUCCUGCUAGGUACUAUCAAUUGAUGCCCCACCCCCACCCCAGUGGCAUGUGUAGCACCUUCUGGAGCUAUGAGAGAUGGCCCAUGGGAGCAGGUUUUUAGGUCAGUUUCAGCUUGAUUUCUGUCUUCAAAGUGUGCUGUGCCUUCAGCAACAGGAUCUUACCAUCUAGUAGGAGUGGGCCACCAAGAGGAGUGUCAGUAGCCUCUGCUGGAGGGCCGCUAGGAUCUCCUAACCAACAACUUAGAAGGAAGUACCCCAUGCCCAGCACUGAGACUUUCACUUCACAACUCUUGUCUCUUAAGAGAAGCAUUGCCUGCCCACCGUCUAGGGUUCAGUGUUCAAACUCUUUUUAAAAAUUAUAUUUUUAAAUUAGUUUACAAAGUGUUAGUGUUUCAUACAUCCUUAGUUUUGCUUAAUGUCCCCCAGCUUUCUCAGCUUUCCUGUUUUCCCUUUCCUACCCCAAAUCUUACUCAAUUUGAAUGGACAGUUCAACAUGGUUACAUGCCCAGUCUGCAGAAUCAGCUUUGUUUUCCCAAACUGAAGCUCAGUGCCCACCGAGUGAUUUCUUAUUAACCCAGACCCCAGGUCCCUGCAGUCUGCUCUCUGUCUUCUGGGGUCAGACUGCUCUGCCUCAAAAGUAGAAUCGUGGAACAUUUGUCUUUUUGAAAUCUCCACACAUUCCACAGUGAGUGUUUGUGGGUCAGAGGACAGCCUCAGUUCUCCUGUUCACGGCUGUGUAUGCCAGGCCAGCUGGCUCCUGGGUAUCUGGAACUUCUCCUGUCUCCACCUCCCAUCUCACUGUAGUAUGCUGGGAUUACACAUGAGAGCUGCAGCAUCCAGCUUUUGUGUCCUGAGUUGCUGAGCUCAGGUCCCACUCGUGCAGUCAACACUGUUCCUUUUGUGUUGUCUCUCAGGCCCAGCAUCGGACUUUUGUAACGGUUCAUUUCGCCUAGCACAGUCCUUGGGCCCCAUUCAUGAUGUAAUAUGUAAGAACAUAUAAUCUACAUACUAUUCCAUUGUAAACACACACGCUGUGUUUGCCCAUUCUGUCAUCAGACGCCUGGUUACUCCUCCUCUUGGCUUUUGUGGACGGUGUUGCUAUGAACAUAGGUGCAGAGACACACACCCCUUGGCAUCUGCUUUCAGUUCUUCUCAGUAUAAACUCAGAAGUGAGGGGUAAAUUUCUUUUUUCUUUUAUGUGAAGAAUCACUGUUUCUAUAGCAGUUAAACUGUAUAUAUCCCUGCCAAUAGCACAUGGGGAUUCUAGAUUCUGAGGCCUUGCUGGCACUUGUUCUGUCCUUCCUUCCUCCCUCCCUUCCCUCCCUUCCCUCCCUUCCCUCCCUCCCUCCCUUCCUGUGUAUGGGUGUUUUGCCUGCAUAUAUGUCUUUAUACCACAUGUAUACUUGGUGCCUGUGGCGAUCAGAAGAGGGCAUUGGGUGCUCCGGGACUGGAACUACAGAUGAUUGUGAGCCUCUGUGCGCCAUCAGUGAACUGGGACCCCUGGGAAAGUGGUCCUUAGCCACAGAGGAGUCUGUCUGGCCCUUUUCCCUCUCCAUAGCUGUCAUCCCAGUGCAUAGGGAAGUGGGGGUUCCAGAUGGGUUUAUUUUCUAGUGAUUAGGUAAACAGCUUUUCAUGUGCUUGUUGUAGAUGCACACGAGUCUUUUCAGCGAUGUAGCGUUGUCUGCUAAAGUGCUGUGCCUGUCAUGUAGCCCAGUUGUUGGUUUGUUAGUGUAGUUUUUCUGUAUACCCUGAUGGCAGCCCUUCUCAGCUGAGUGCUUUCUCACCCCACAGGGCACUCCUGUCGAUGGUAGAGGGCUAUGUCUGAUGAAACUGUUUUCUGUAUCAUUAGGCCUGUCCAUUUGUCUUAUCCCCCCGAUAAAGAUGAAUUUAAAGGCUUUAAUUUUGUGUGUAAGAGGUAAAGGGUCCCUUCAGGGCCUUUCCUGAUGAUGUCACAUGAACCAGCAUAUUGAGCAGACAAGAGACCUUCCCUUCUUCUGGAAGAGCAGUCAGUUAACCACUGAGCAUCUCUCUAGCCAGUGCUGCUGUCUUAUGCUCUUGGAGUCAUGUGCUUUUGUUAUUUUGUAAUACAAAAGUGAGAAUAUUUACUUGUCCAUGACAUUAAUUUCCACGUUCUGUCCUAGUCACUUUUAUCAGCAAUUAAUACAGAAUCCCGUGUAGAGGACAGAGGUUGACAUCAGCAGUCUUCCUCCUCCUUAUCUACAUUUAUGUUUGAGAUGAUGUCUCUCUGUAUCUGUACCUUAGGCAGACUGGCUGCCAAGCCAAGCCAGGCCCAGGCCCUCCUGUUUCUGUCUCCCCAGCACUGGGAUAAUAGACAAACACUCUACCACGGCCACCAGGUUUUUCCUGCCAGUGCUGGGAAUCAGAACUCAGAUCUCCACUUUAACCAGCUAGCCCAUCUCUUCAGCCCAUCAGUAGUCGUAGGAAGGCUGGGAAGUGUGACGAUAGUUGGCAGCUUGUGUUUUCUAAGGCUGCAGCAUGUUGGAUACAGCAGUGAAACUGGCUCCUCAGAGGAGCAGUGGUAGCAAUAACAUCAGUACGCCUGCAAGGUGGAAUUCUAGGUUCUGUCACAAAUACAUGAAAAGCAGGACACAAAAACAGCAUCCAGUGGCUUUCCUCUCGGGCCUGGGGAGCUUGGUUGGGCGCUUGACUGGUUGUUGGCAUUUUGUGAAGUGGCAUCAUGGUGUAGUUGCCAGUUACCACUGCUGUGUGGCUGUUGGUCACGAUUACAGGGCAGCAGGCUUUGUUCUGAACAUAAAGAACAGGAUGAGGAUGUGUUCCCAGCCAGAGAAAUAGCAGACAGGCGUGAUCAUCUGGAGCGGGGGAGGAGCUGGGACCAGAGAACUGUUCUCAGCUCUUGAAGGGUGCCCUGUGAAAGAACAAUUAAGAAUGGAGGAUGGGGAGGGCUAGCCUAGGUGGCUGCUAUGAUAGGGAGGUGGCAUGGUGGCAUGUCGCUUCUGUCCCCAACCAGCAGAAAAGAGCGACGACACAGCGUUCUUCUCAAAGCAGUUUAUUCAGGAACCUUUCAACAUGCAAGCAGGAAUCUCUCCUAGCCCCCAAUCACAAUCCCUUAUAUAACCCCUCAACCACGUCCCAUCAGCCCAGUCCGUGUAAUCUCAGUUCAUUGGCCUUCGUCAAAUGGCCUGAUCUUGCAUCAUGGUGCACCUGCGCAGCUCUCAUGAUGGAUGUGGCUUAUUUUCAGGUGUAUGAGGAAGUCAGGUGCAAGUCAUAAGACUUGGCUGCUGUCCUGGCGCCAUCUUGGCACUACCGCCACACCCGCUCCCCACAGUGGCACAUGUGUGUAACCCGGGACACUGCUUUAGCCUGGGCAUACUGAGUAGCCGCAGCACUCAGUACCCAUGGAGUAUUUGCCCUGGGCAGGGCUAAGUCUGGCUCAGAAUAGAAGCAGAGGGCAGGCAUGACCUCAGAGUGUCCAGCAUUAGUGUGAAGCUGAGUGAACCCCUUUGCCCCUGACAGUCCUAGCUCUGUACUUGCUUUACAUCUGGAUUCACGAAUAGGCCUAAAGAGUGAGAGACUCACUCACCAGAGCCCAGUGAGGCUGGGCUGUUCCCAGGAAGCCCACCACAGUCCAGCAGAACGUGCGGCACUCACUGCAAUGUAGGGGCCUCCAUUAGUUAAUAGACUACCUGCAAAAAGCCGGAGACAAUAUUUCUGUGUCAUCGGGGGGAUUGAUUCCUUUCCUGUGAGCAAAGAUGAUUUUUAAAAUUUGAAAAGUACACACUUGUAGAAAACCUUGAUAAAUAUGAACAGAGUGAGAGAAUCCUGACAUUAAGAGGUGAGUUGCAAGGCCAGGCAUGGUGGCACAGGCCUUUAAUCCUAGCACAUGGGAGGCAGAGGUGGGGGCAGGGGCAGGGGCAGGGGCAGGGGCAGGCGGAUCUCCAUGAGUUUGAGGCUAACCUGGUGCAGUGAGCUGGUCCCAGGACAGCCAAGGCAACACAGAAACCCUGUCUCAAAAAACAAACAGAAAAGAAGAAAACAAAAAAGAAAUAGAAAAAAAAAAAGAAAGAAAAAAAAUGAGUUGAUAAAGAUAUGCGUUUAAAAUACUCUUGAAGUCAGAUGUCAGAAGUUCACUGAAUUUGAAUAAACACCUAGAUAUUCUUACCUAGGUUUAUUAGAUGGUGUAAGUUUGCAUAUUAGUGAUAAAUUAGUAACCUAAAGUGGCAGUUUUUAAGCUCUGCCUGUAGUCACACCUGGAGCCACUAGAUGGCGGUAUUGGAACUUGGUAAAACCUGUAAUUCUACUUAAAAUUGUUAUUAAAUGAGGCUUGAGUGUUAUUAAAAGAGCUGAAAUGUUACUAAGUGAUAACAUAUUCUUUCAGUAAAACUGGUAAGAGGGUGGCUGGGAGCAUCCAGAACCAGCUUUGACAGUUGUCUUCCUGUCUCUGAAGCUCCUAGGCCCAAGUGAGAGUUACGAAUUACUAUUAUCUACUCGCAUUUAUUUUUUCCUAAACAGUACAGUAAAGCGUAUUUCAAACCAUAGGAACACUUUUUGUGUGUGAAUCCCCACCUCAUUCCCUUGUGACAGAGUCUUUCACAGAACCUGCAUGUAAACUGGCAGCCAUCAGGACCCAGAGGUCCUCCUGUCUGUUUUGCACAGUGCUGGGUGAUGGGUAUGCAGAGCCACCCCCAGCUUGUACGUGACGGCUGGAGAUUUGAAUUCUGGUCCUGUUGUUUGUGCAUCUAGCACUGUUACCCACUGAGCCUAUUCCUGAGCUCCAAACAUCACAUUUAACUGUGUAGCAAGUUGUCAUGCAGGGCAGCCUGGCUCUAAUACGGAACUUAAGGAAGAAUUCUUACCGAUAUCUGAAAGUUAAGGAAAGGGGAAGGCGGGUUGUUCUUUUUUUGUAAGGGGAUUUAGUGAUCCUGUUGAAUAACUGUUUUGUGUGAGCCACAAACCGUAUUUUUAUCAGAAUUGUUGGGUAAAUGUUGAUAGGAAAGUAGUCCUACUAUGUAGUGGAUAUGAAUGCCACUACCCUACAGCACACGCUUUAGCAGUUGUCUUCCCAUGUCGUGUCUGUGGCUAGUAUUGAGUGCAGAUAAGGUGGAAGCUCAGUCCUUAUCUUGUCAUUCCUUCGACAAAUGGUGUAGUUGUCAACAAUAAGUAAAUAUUCUCAGAGCUCAGAGGAAGGAAGUAGGAAACUACGCGUUGGGGGACUUGAUGGCUGGCGGUGCAAAUGUGCACGUGAGUUCUAAGGAAGGAUAAAAAUAAGGAACAGGAAGUUGAUUCAUGAAAGUGAUUUUUAUUCCACUGCGUGCUUUAACUGAGAAAACAACCUAGAAGAUGUGCUAAUGUUUUAUGGUGAAUUGGUCUUUGAAAAGUGAGUUCUAAUCAGUUUUUAGAACUGCUCCAGGGUGAGGAGGGGCCCAUCUCCGUGUUCUGUGCAUUGCAGUUAUUCAAGCACACGUGUGGAGGCCAGAAGAGGGCAUCAUGUCCUCUGGAACUAGAGUUGUAGACAGUUGUGAGCCACUGUGUGGAUACUGAGAACAGAACCCAGGUUCUCUGAAAGAGCAGCCAGUGGUCUUAACCACUGAGCCAUCUCUUCAGUCCGUGGAUCAUAUCUAUGUAAAAAAAAAAAACCAAUCUAUCUAUCUAUCUAUCUAUCUAUCAGUAUAUAUGGAUAUACAGAUAUAUAGAUACAGAUAUCUACACACACACACACGCACAUACACACACACACACAUUAUAAUGCUGUAUUUGUUGUGUCCAUGUUUUAAUUUAUAUCUCCCUAAUCCAGUGCUGUAUUGAGCUGCUCCUCCGACCCCAACCACUAGAGAGGGUUUCCCUGUGUAGUCUAGCUGGCUGUCCUGGACUUGCUUUGUAGACUAGGUACAGAAAUCCACCUGCCUCUGUCUUCUAGGUGCUGGGAUUAAAGGCGUGUGCCAUCAGGCCUGGCAUUGGCUGCUUUUUAUGUGCUCAGCUGCUGUUCGUGUAUUUUCAAGUCUCUCCGUGCACCUGUACUUAGAUUUGUGACUUUCUUAUUAUUAUAAGAGUUCUUUGAGAGUUCUUUGUAUUCUCAUACCAGUUCUUUAGGUGUGCAUUUAGCAGAUACUUCCCCAAGUUUAUCUCUGUUGAUUUUUAUAAUAGUGACCUUUGAAGAGUGUAGUUAAAUACUCUAAUGAAAUAAAAUCUACCAGUUUAUAAAUAGCCUAUGCUGUGUACUCUUUGGAAAAAUCUUCCUAUGUUGUGCGUAUUUGAGAAAUCUCUGACCUAUGUAGGUUUCUUCUAGAAAUUUUAUUUUAGGUUUGCCAUUUGGGUUUAUGCUCUAUUUUGAAUUUUUAAUAUAUGGUUCAAAGUAGAGCUGUCUUCCUCACUCAGCACCUUCUGUGUGACAAGGUAAAGCCUCACCUGCCCCUGGAAAGCCCCGUUUUUGCUGCCCCCCCAGUUGCUACUUCUUCAACACGAUCCUGACUUAAUACCCCAGUUUAGUUUGUCAGUUUGAGCCACACAUAGUGAAGCACAGGCUGUGUCUGGUUUGUUUCUGUCCUUUGUUUAGCUGUUUCCUUGGUGCCCAAUGUAGCUCUAGUCAGUCUCGUCGUUAGUAGUGUAGUAUUGUGGCAAGUCAAGACACCACACUCCUCCAGUUUCUAUGGCCCCCUGUACCUCUUGUGCUGUGGACAGACACAUGCUUCUGUUUGGUGAUGUCUGGAGUUGGAAUCUGAGUUGAAGGGUAUCGUGCUUAGCUGUUGAAGAUUGCUGCCAUAUCUUUUGUUGGUCAGGAAUUUCAGAGCAAAGUAUUGAUCCUGUUCCUGUCAGCAGGGACUAGAGUUACCUGAAGACUCAUUUUCCAGAGUGACUCACUCUUGUGGCUGUGGGUAGGAAGCCUUGGUUCCUCUUCUUGGAGUUGUAGGAGUAUCCUUUUGACAGGGUAGCUCACCUCCAAGAGUGUCAGAGUCCUUUUCGUUUUACUCAUUGUCGGGCUAAGGGACACACCACGUACCAUAAUUGUAGUCCACAUUUUUUUACUGACCAAGAGACUGAGCUCUUCUGCUGUUGGCUUGUUGUUUAUUUAAGUAAAUAUUUUGGCUGUCUCAGUGUUAACUGUAACUAGCUCUCUUUUAACUACCCAACUGUACAUUUUUCUUGGUGUCUUGUUUUUUGUUUCAUAGCCAUGGUGAUUUAUCUUCCUGUAACACUGAGGAAUAACUUCCAGUUUCCCCCCAAGAUUUCAUUGCUUUGUAGAAUUUGUUUCUUUUGAAUUCUUUCUACUUGCUGUUUUCUGAUUUUGAUAUUAGGGGUUUUGCAUAACCGGAGCCUUCGGCUGUUCAUAUUUAAGAUCUAGUUAGAAAGUGGAGUGACAGGGAUGGAGAAAUGGGUCCACUGGGAAAGUGCUUGCUUUGUAAGCGCCACAUGCAAAUCUGGGUGUGGAUCAUGCACCUGUGAUGCAGGAGGAUCCCCAGCUCCUCCCACCCCUUCCUGGACAUGGGUGGAGGGAAGUUCCCACCCUCUACUGUCUUGGUCUUUCUGGCUCCCUCUGAGGCUGUCUAGGGUUCUGCCCUAAGGACCCUGGCAGCACAAUUCAGAAGCUGUGGAAAGGGGCAGACUGUGUGGGAGAAGCCACUUCUUACACAAAGGAAAUCCCAGGGGCUUAGGAGCUCUCUGCUAGGAACAUGGCACAAAGACUAAAAAGAAUUUGCUUAUUCCACCACAGUCUGUCAGUAGGCAGAGAGAUGAGAGCCAUCUCUCGUUUCUGGCUGCCUCUUAUGGUCCCAGAAGACACUGGUCCUGCAGGGCCUCUGGGUAGUUUGAGUGUUAAUCUAGGAGCUUUUCCAGCUCAGCAAAACUGGUCUGCUGUUAUUCUCACAGGCUUGAGUCUCAGUCGUGAAUUGACACUAUGGUUACUGUAGUUGUUAGUGUCUAAGCCCUAAUACCCAGUAUGCCCUCUCCUCCUUAGCAAUUAAACAGGUAUUGGGGAAAAGCUGCAGAGGGAGAUUAGUCCAGUGUGCUGCUUUAGGGGGAGGAAUAACUAGGAACAAGGCAGUCUGGGUAUUGCACUGAGCUUUAGGCUUAAUCCGAGGCAGGAGACUGAUGUCGGAGAGCAGUCUUGCACACUGCUGUCACACCCAGCACCACUCUCUGGGCUUCAGGCUCCUGCAAGGACAUGUAGCAGGUUGUCAGCACCGUGUAACCAUCUUCCUGGCAGACAAGUUCUUUCUCUGGCUGGCACGGCUGCCUUAUCCUCCUGGCAUGAGGUUCCUGGGGAUUUGUAGUUCUUUGGGGUACAUUAUUUCAAUACUCUGAUAGCUGGAGGGAGGUGUGCAGUUGUCCACUUGAACUGUUUUCAUUGCUGCAAGACCAGUUACUGAUUUCCAGUCAGGAAAAUUUUAUUAUUCGCGGCUCUUUGUCGUUGUGUGUGCCUUUCGAGAAGCCCUCUCCAUGUCAUUCUCGAGAGUUGGGGGAAACGGACAGAUAAGGCCGUGAGUGCAAGGCUUCUUCUUACCUGGCUGUAUUGUUUUCCACUGUGGUUAAGAACACUGGCAAUUGUAAAAUCAGUUUUCUCUCCAUUGACAAGAUUACUUCCAAAGUACUCAGAAUUUUUAUUCAAGGUCAUUUUGUCAGUGAUGAGAGGACAGAGGUUCAGUUCCGUGCUGCUGCCUUCAUCAGGCUCAGGAGCCCCCUUGGACUUGUAGAGCCUCUGCUCAGAACAAAACAGGAUUCAUGGCUUGGAGGCUGAAAAGAAUCCCAGGACCAGUUUACACAGUGAGUUAUGGCUGACAUUUUUGUUAAAGAUAUUUUAAUACAGGCUUCCAUGAGGCUUAAGAGAGACGCCCUCAGAAGAGGGAGAGUAGGGAAGUCAGCGUUAAAGAGAGGAAUGGGCAGAGCGAGCGCUGUUUGGUGGGAAGGAGCACACACUUAAGUAGCCCUUCAGGAGUGAGGGUUACUAGGAGACAGGGCUUGGGAAUCAUGGCUGGACCUUCAGGUGGGAAAGCAUUUCCUCAAGGGAAAGUGUUUUCCCUUUGAGUCUGGAGCAGAGGUUUGUUGAGGGAUGCAGGUCACAGGAAGGGUGAAGAGAGAAAGCUGCUGUGAGGGGUGCAUGGGGGUCUGGGGGAAGAGCGUCUCGAGAGAAUAUCCCUCCCUCUGCCCCCACCCCCCAAAUGGGGAAGGUCUGACUUUUACACGUUCUUUUGCAUGGUGUGAUUUAGACAGGUGUAGCCUGCUUACGAGAACAGGAGCCAGGGACUGCUUAGGACCAUGAAUUAGAGCUGUAAAACCGCAGCUCAGAACAGCUUCUCACAGAGGAUCCAAAUUAAAGGGGUAGGCUGUGAUCUAAGCGGAGACUACCUGAGUGGGCAGGUCUUAGCUCCUCUAGGGAGAGGUAUAAUUGUCUGGUUCUCAGGUUGUGUCUCAAAGGGUCGCCAAGAAACCUUUCCUCUUCCUCUUCCUCUUCCAGUAAGAAAGAUAAACAAGGUGGCUGCAGAGGUGCUGUGGAUAGAACUGCUGCUGCAGUCCAGCCAGCAGCCGUCCGCUUGCUCGCUCUGGUUCCUAGAAAGUCAGGAGGGAGGAGAGCCUGAGACACUGUUGCUGGGAUCCUGCCCCAGUGCUGGCACCGACACUGUCUUCCUCCACAAACCUGUGUCCUGGGUCCUUUGUGCUUCACACAGCUUCCUUCAGCAGCAGUCCUGCUUAGCCACACUGGCAUGGAGACUCAUGCCUCAUGUGCUUCUGUCUGUUUUACACAACCUGGAGUCACUGGGGAAGACUGCUCCCAUCAGGUCGGCCUGUGAGACACUCACCUCAGCAGUGUUGCCCCUGGGCAGGUGGUCUGGGGCUGAAUAAAACAAGUUGAGCAAGCCUUGGAGAGCAAGUCAGUAAGCAGUGUACCUCCAUGCAGGCUGCAUCAGUUCCCGCCCUGGCUUCCCUCACGUCUGUGACAUGACAGCAGAAGCCAAAUAAAUCCUUUCCUCCUCA
Long non-coding RNA from Mus musculus (house mouse), 20188 nucleotides. RefSeq annotates it as predicted gene, 46485. The transcript has 2 exons. The record is from RefSeq and is a predicted model, not a curated record. NCBI's taxonomy places the organism in Eukaryota, Metazoa, Chordata, Mammalia, Rodentia, Muridae.